AUUGAACGCUGGCGGCAGGCCUAACACAUGCAAGUCGAGCGGGGUUUUCGGACCUAGCGGCGGACGGGUGAGUAAUGCGUAGGAAGCUACCCGAUAGAGGGGGAUACCAGUUGGAAACGACUGUUAAUACCGCAUAAUGUCUACGGACCAAAGUGUGGGACCUUCGGGCCACAUGCUAUCGGAUGCGCCUACGUGGGAUUAGCUAGUUGGUGAGGUAAUGGCUCACCAAGGCGACGAUCUCUAGCUGGUUUGAGAGGAUGAUCAGCCACACUGGAACUGAGACACGGUCCAGACUCCUACGGGAGGCAGCAGUGGGGAAUAUUGGACAAUGGGCGCAAGCCUGAUCCAGCCAUGCCGCGUGUGUGAAGAAGG
Molecule: ribosomal RNA, 372 nt
Filed under: uncultured bacterium
Lineage: Bacteria
Description: bacterial SSU rRNA
Rfam family: Bacterial small subunit ribosomal RNA
Source: RNAcentral